RNAcentral lists this ribosomal RNA (547 nucleotides) under uncultured bacterium. Its description in RNAcentral is "bacterial SSU rRNA". It matches the Rfam family "Bacterial small subunit ribosomal RNA", at positions 358 to 916 of the family's 1533-position model. The record is from RNAcentral.
GGAAUAUUGGGCAAUGGGCGCAAGCCUGACCCAGCGACGCCGCGUGAGGGAUGAAGGCCUUCGGGCUGUAAACCUCUUUCAGUAGGGAAGAAGCGAAAGUGACGGUACCUAAAGAAGAAACACCGGCUAACUAUGUGCCAGCAGCCGCGGUAAUACAUAGGGUGCAAGCGUUGUCCGGAAUUAUUGGGCGUAAAGAGCUCGUAGGUCGUUUGCCGCGUCGAUUGUGAAAAUCUGAGGCUCAACCUCAGACCUGCAGUCGAUACGGGCAAACUAGAGUGUGGUAGGGGAGACUGGAAUUCCUGGUGUAGCGGUGGAAUGCGCAGAUAUCAGGAGGAACACCAAUGGCGAAGGCAGGUCUCUGGGCCAUAACUGACACUGAGGAGCGAAAGCGCGGGGAGCGAACAGGAUUAGAUACCCUGGUAGUCCGCGCCGUAAACGAUGGGCACUAGCUGUGAGAACCUUCCACGGUUUUCGCGACGCAGAAAACGCAUUAAGUGCCCCGCCUGGGGAGUACGAUCGCAAGAUUAAAACUCAAAGGAAUUGACGG